Long non-coding RNA from Salmo salar (Atlantic salmon), 1195 nucleotides. RefSeq lists it as uncharacterized. Lineage: Eukaryota; Metazoa; Chordata; Actinopteri; Salmoniformes; Salmonidae. The record is from RefSeq and is a predicted model, not a curated record.
CACGACUUCCCAUCAAACCAACUCCUUGAAUGCAAAGUUCAAAAAUCACCGGAGGACAUCUUUAAGGAAAAUGUUUUUAUUUUUAAUGUUUCGCUUAACAUAAUAUUAUUAAUUGUAAAAAAAAUUUUUAAAAAAAAUGCAUUAAAAUGUCUGUAAGAGGAUAAGCAACAACAAAUGUAGGUAUUAAUAAAGCACUUCUAUAUCUUCUAAAAUACUUUUUACAACGGAGGAAGAGGAGUGCCAAGAUGGAGUUGGCUUCCAAACGGCGACCCCUGUCAGUCAUCGAGUGUAUAUAUAUAUAAAUCAUCGGCUCAGAAACCAGCUAGCUAUUACAUUGAAAUGUAUGCAUUGCUUUACAUUGGUUGUUAUUCCAUUGAAAUGUAUGCAUUGCUUUACAUUGGUUGUUAUUCCAUUGAAAUGUAUGCAUUGCUUUACAUUGGUAGUUAUUCCAUUGAAAUGUAUGAAUUGCUUUACAUUGGUUGUUAUUCCAUUGAAAUCCACAAAGUGCUUUGCAUUGGUUUUUCAGGUAACCAAGGAAGAAGGCACUGAGCCCCAAGUUGUCCCCACAAACUCCAGUGCUUGAGAUGUCCUCCUCCUCUAACUUAUUCUUCAAUAAUUUCAUUCCCAGUGUGCUGCACUGACUGCCGACAGGUUAGGACAGUCCCGUGUGGCUCAGUUGGUAGAGCAUGACACUUGCAGUGCCAGGGUUGUGGGUUCGAUUCCCACAAGGAGCCAUUAUUAAAACGUAUGCACUCACACCAGUAAAUUGCUCUGGAUUAGAGUGCACGUAAAAUGACAGACAGGGACAUUUUUAUUUAUGUCUUUGGAUAAAAGUUUAAACGUCAUCAAUGAGUAUCUCUUCACCCUUAGAUAUUAGAAAACAUGUAUCUUCUGUGUUGUAGGGGUGACAUGCUGUGACUAAAGGACAUCGGACGUGAGUUGUCUUCCAGAGAAAACAAAAGAGGCCAAGUGACCUGGCAGAGGAUGCUGAAACACUUCUAAAUGGUUGGAACCAACACGUGCAGUAUCUCCAUCAUUUGCCGCCAGCUCAGGGACAAGUCUCACUGCUCACAGCCCUGUGUAAAUGUAUUUAGUGGACAGGUGCUGGACCUUUUCAAACGUAUCCGUCUUGUUUAUCUUGUAUUUUCCAUUGUGUUAGUGAUAGGUGGGGUGAAAUAAAAGAUUGUUUGCAAUG